GUGUAAGUUAACACCAAACGAAAACAACCCAACAAAAACAAUCCUUGUAUCUUCCUUUGAUAUUCUUUUUCUCUCUUCUCUCUCCUUCUUCCACCCUCACAUCCAACAUUUGUAAAACCAAGAACUUCUCAUGGAUUAAACUACUGAGGUCUGGGAGGUCUGAAUAGUAUACUACAGUUGUGUUGUAUAUUCUUUUAUCUCCUAUUUCUACAUUUUAAAUUUAUUUUUUAUGCUUGUUUUUUGUUCUCUCUACUGUCUUCCCACCUACAUGACUCCUCAAAAUCACUUUCUCUCUUUUCUCGUGCUACUAUCCAACUUCUUUGGAUUUCUCUUUCACCCUUCCUAAGAUCUAAUAACUCUGUAUCCUCACCUCCUAACCCCUCAGCAUCUCAUCCUACACCCCAUUCCUGGUUCUCUCUUUGUCCACACUAGAAACUGCAGAUCCUUUUGCAAACAUACUGUUUAUAUUGUAGAUAAUGAUUAAACUCGCCUUUUCUGUAUAUUGUGACAAAUCAUUAAAC
RNAcentral lists this long non-coding RNA (521 nucleotides) under Marmota monax (woodchuck). Lineage: Eukaryota; Metazoa; Chordata; Mammalia; Rodentia; Sciuridae. The record is from RNAcentral.